Molecule: ribosomal RNA, 440 nt
Filed under: uncultured bacterium
Lineage: Bacteria
Description: partial 16S ribosomal RNA
Rfam family: Bacterial small subunit ribosomal RNA
Source: RNAcentral
CCUACGGGGGGCAGCAGUAGGGGAUAUUGCACAAUGGGGGAAACCCUGAUGCAGCGACGCCGCGUGGGUGAAGAAGCGCCUCGGCGCGUAAAGCCCUGUCAGCAGGGAAGAAAAUGACGGUACCUGAAGAAGAAGCCCCGGCUAACUACGUGCCAGCAGCCGCGGUAAUACGUAGGGGGCAAGCGUUAUCCGGCUUUACUGGGUGUAAAGGGGGCGCAGACGGGGAUGCAAGCCAGGAGUGAAAGCCCGGGGCCCAACCCCGGGACUGCUCUUGGAACUGCGUGGCUAGAGUGCAGGAGGGGCAGGCGGAAUGCGUGGUGUAGCGGUGAAAUGCGUAGAUAUCAGGAGGAACACCGGUGGCGAAGGCGGCCUGCUGGACUGCAACUGACGUUGAGGCCCGAAAGCGUGGGGAGCAAACAGGAUUAGAUACCCUUGUAGUC